Molecule: long non-coding RNA, 876 nt
Organism: Dalotia coriaria
Lineage: Eukaryota; Metazoa; Arthropoda; Insecta; Coleoptera; Staphylinidae
Exons: 5
Source: RefSeq, a predicted model, not a curated record
CGACCUACACAGUUGUGAUGCCGGCACGCAUCUCUUACUUCGUGCGGCAAGUAACAAUACUCCCGCGAGUGUUCGUCUUUCUCAUUGUAAAUUCGGUAUAUCGCGUUACAUUUGAUUGAAUUUAGGGCUAAUUGUUGUGUUUAGUCACGCCUUAAAUAUUUUUCGCGUGUGAAAAUGUAGUAAUUUUCGCGUGUAUUCGUGAUCGGUUGCCGUCGGACGCCGGCUGGUCGGUGUUGUUGUGUGAUUGUAAAUAAUAUUGUAGUUAAUUUUGGUCUUGUGCGAACAUUUUUUGUCUUAAGCAGAAUUUGUCGGAUCAAUGUGCUACCUGUAUUUACUCGCAUUUAAUUCCCGGUGUUCGAUACACUGGAGACACUACUACCGCUACUCUCCUACGGUGCCCUAAAUGGGUGUAUCUUCUACCGCUACCUUCGUACGGUGCCCUAAAUGAGAGUCUUUAUGGAUCCUUUGUUGGAUAAAGCAUUGGCUAAUCCUGAGAUGGUCAAGUUUAUCAAUAAGGACCAACUGGAGACGUUCCAUGGUACUGGUGGAGUGCGUAUUGAGGAUGAUGUUUUGAUUACUGAAGAUGGAUGUGUCAACUGGACUAAAGUUCCAAGAACGGUCCAAGAAAGUGAAGAUUGGAUUGCCGGUGUUGAUGAUGAUUCCAAACACGAUUGAAUGAAUUUACACCAUCUUGAAGCUGUUAUUGUUAUAAUUUUUGUUUAUUUUCUUAAAAGUUGUUAAAAAGGCAUUAUAUAAUUGCAUAUUAUUAUCCUGUUUUCUUGCUUGUAUUGUUGAAAAUAUUGAGAAAUUGAGUUUGGGAUUGUGUAUAUUCUACAUGUUUGAAUAAAAUUGUAGUUUUAUAUUUUUGACUAUAAA